This 1362-nucleotide long non-coding RNA is filed under the name Penaeus japonicus. RNAcentral describes it as "uncharacterized LOC122249920". The record is from RNAcentral. Lineage: Eukaryota; Metazoa; Arthropoda; Malacostraca; Decapoda; Penaeidae.
GAAAGGUAUGGAUGUUACCCAGGGUAGAGUAGCAAAAAAGAAAGAUUUGAAAGGAAUGGAUGACACCCUGGGUAGAGUAAUAAGAAAGGUAGAUUUGAAAGGUAUGGAUGACACCCAGGGUAGAGUAGCAAAAAAGAAAGAUUUGAAAGGAUGGAUGACACCCUGGGUAGAGUAACCAAAACUAUUACCGAUAUCUUACAUAGACUCAAAUAUAUGAUAGAAAUGAAGGGGUUGAAUUGAAAAGCAGGUUUUAUAUGAACUGUUAUGCAAAAUUAUUUUAAAGGUAUGUAUAACACCUUGGGUAGUAUAAGAAAAGGGUAGAUUUCAAAAGCAUGGGAAGAGUAAGGUAUGAAUUAUACCCCGGGUAGAUGUAUUCAAAAAUUCUGGUCAAACAGUAAAAAAAUGUAGGUUUGAAAGAUAUGAAUAAUACCCUGGGCAGAGAAAUAACGAGGUGCAAUGGUAUAAAUGGUUCCCUGGGUAAAUAUCAUACCCUGGAUAUUGAAGAUCGCGGAAAGACGAGCAAAAUAUGAUAUGAAGGAAGAUAUGUAUAUAAUUAUACAGAUGGCAGUAGUAAAAGUUGAAGGCAAUUAACUUAUCAAAUAUGGUUGAUUUCAAAGGUAUUGACAACACCGUGGGUAUAGGAAUACGAAAGGCAGAUUUGAAAGGUAUGGAUUGCACCCUGGGUAGAAUAACACGAAAGGCUGAUUUGAAAAGUGUAGAUGAAACCCUGAGUAACAAGAAAGGUAGAUUUAAAAGAUAUGAAUGACACCGAGGGUAGAGAAACAAAAAAAUAAGAUUUGAAAAGUAUUGAUGAUACCCUGGCUAGAGUGAUAAGUAAGGUACAUUUGAAAGGUAUGGAUGAUACCCAGGGUAGAGUAACAGAAAAGAGGGAUUUUAAAGCAAUUAACUUAAGAAAGUGGUUGAUUUAAAAGGUAUCGAUGGCACCGUGAGUAGAGUAACAGGAAAUAAAUAUUUGAAAGGAAUGGAUGACACCCUGGGUAGAGUAAUAAGAAAGUAGAUUUGAAAGGUAUGGAUGACACCCUGGGAAGAGUAACAAAUGCAAUAUAUUUGAAAGGAAUGGAUGACACUGAGGGUAGAGUAACAAAAAAAAAAAAGAAAAAAAAAUAUAUUUUAAAGGUAUGGAUGAUACCCUGGGUAGAAUAACAAAAUAGGGAGAUUUGAAAGGUAUGGAUGACACCCUGGGUAGAAUAACAAAAAAGAGAGAUUUGAAAGGUAUGGAUGACACCCUGGGUAAAAAAAAUAAGAAAGGUAGAUUUAAAAGGUAUGAAUCACACCUAGGGUAGAGUAAUAAGAAAGGUAUAUUUGAAAGAAAUGGGAUGAUACCUAGUGUAGAGUAACAAA